CGAGCCUCCCCCGCCCGAUCAUGUCAUCCUGAUCAACCCCCUCACGCAGUCAGCGGUCGUCUUGGAAGGUGAAGCGGCGCAGAUCCUGAUGGAAGGGAGCGAGCGAUCCGGUACGCCGCCGGCGUCGAAGGCGUCGAUCAAAGAGUUGCGGACGCUUGCCGUUGAAGAGUUGGUGGCGGAUCAGGAGUGCGCGGUGUGCCUUGACGAGUUUGGG
Molecule: unclassified non-coding RNA, 214 nt
Filed under: Hevea brasiliensis (rubber tree)
Lineage: Eukaryota; Viridiplantae; Streptophyta; Magnoliopsida; Malpighiales; Euphorbiaceae
Source: RNAcentral